GACGUAGGGUGCGAGCGUUAAUCGGAAUUACUGGGCGUAAAGCGUGCGCAGGCGGUUUUGUAAGCCAGAUGUGGAGUCCCCGGGCUCAACCUGGGAAUGGCAUUUGGGACUGCAAGGCUGGAGUGUGGCAGAGGGGACUAGAAUUCCUGGUGUAGCAGUGAAAUGCGUAGAUAUCAGGAGGAAUACUGAUGGCGAAGGCAGGUCCCUGGGUUAACACUGACGCUCAUGCACGAAAGCGUGGGGAGCAAACAGG
This 253-nucleotide ribosomal RNA is filed under the name uncultured bacterium. RNAcentral's name for it is "partial 16S ribosomal RNA". It matches the Rfam family "Bacterial small subunit ribosomal RNA", at positions 524 to 776 of the family's 1533-position model. The record is from RNAcentral.